GAUGAACGCUGGCGGCGUGCCUAAUACAUGCAAGUCGAGCGAACAGACGAGGAGCUUGCUCCUCUGACGUUAGCGGCGGACGGGUGAGUAACACGUGGAUAACCUACCUAUAGGACUGGGAUAACUUCGGGAAACCGGAGCUAAUACCGGAUAAUAUAUUGAACCACAUGGUUCAAUAGUGAAAGACGGUUUUGCUGUCACUUAUAGAUGGAUCCGCGCCGCAUUAGCUAGUUGGUAAGGUAACGGCUUACCAAGGCAACGAUGCGUAGCCGACCUGAGAGGGUGAUCGGCCACACUGGAACUGAGACACGGUCCAGACUCCUACGGGAGGCAGCAGUAGGGAAUCUUCCGCAAUGGGCGAAAGCUUGACGGAGCAACGCCGCGUGAGUGAUGAAGGUCUUCGGAUCGUAAAACUCUGUUAUUAGGGAAGAACAAAUGUGUAAGUAACUAUGCACGUCUUGACGGUACCUAAUCAGAAAGCCACGGCUAACUACGUG
Molecule: ribosomal RNA, 497 nt
Filed under: uncultured bacterium
Lineage: Bacteria
Description: partial 16S ribosomal RNA
Rfam family: Bacterial small subunit ribosomal RNA
Source: RNAcentral